AAGAACCUGAUUUCUUUUGAAUAACUACUAAUUAAUUAUAUAUGCAUUUUUCAUUUUGGCAUACAUUUUAAUCAAUACAAAACAUUAUCCAGACAGAUGAUAUAUUACAACUAUUCAAAACAAAAUUUCUUUCUUCAAAAAAUGGUUCUAUUAGGGAAAACGUAUAUAUAGAAAUAUAAAAUUCAAUUUUAGAAUAUCUACAAUUAUAAUUUGAUAAAAAAAAUUAUGGGGGAUAUAUUUAGAUAUUACUUAUCUUAAUCUUUCAUCUUACAAUUAAAUAUUUUCUUAUAAUUCAAAACUACAGGACCCCUCUAUUACAACUAAAUUACUGUAUUAUAAUUGAUUAAAAAUUAACAUAGCAUUUAUGUAUCCUCUAAAUCAACUAGGCUUAAUUGUUUACACAGUUUUCAAUGUGUUAGGUUCAAAGUCAUUUUGUUAAAUUGCAAUUCAAACCCAUUUAUUAGCCCAUAUUUGAUUAUUAUUUCUAUGAAAGAUAUGACACAAAUUUUCUAAAUAAGUUCCAUUUUCUUCAGGUUUUAGAUAUAAGGAUGCUAUAUAUUCACUGAGAGGGUCUAACUUCGAUAGACACAGACAAGAAUUUGUGUAAUAAUGACUUAAUUUCUCCACAGGUGCAUACAUUUGUGUGUGAUUAGUCAGAAAAUCAUUUGUUAAUGUGUGCCCUUAUGAGGCUGUAUCACAAGUACAAUUUAUUUCUUUGCAUUUUUUUUUAUCAUAAUAUCAUAAAAGGCCUUAAUUUCAAUCCCAUUAUUAAAACACAAAAAAAAUUCUAUCAUGUGAUUUCAAUGACUGGUCAAAAUGGCCAUUAUUAGGAGUUAGAACUGUUAUUUGGUAAUAUAAUAAAUGAAUGCUGACUGUUUUAGUGAGGUAACAACUAAAACAAGGUAAAAAAGUUAGGGAUAUUGUUUGAAUGAAUGUAAAAAUGAUACAAAGAUAAAAGUGUACAAUUCAUUGAAGGUCUAAAAAAAACAUGGAUUUCAAGUACUGUUGGUUUAUUAUUAUUUGUGAGAUAUUAAUUUUCAGGGAUUUCAUGGAUGCAUGUGAACCAAUACCAAUAAUUUAUAUGUUGAACACACUAAAAUUUUACAAAGGCUUCUAUGUAGACUUUUGUAAAACUACAAAAUAAAUUAUCCACAAUUUUUUUUUCUCCCUUAACCCACAAAAAUCACUACAUA
This 1193-nucleotide long non-coding RNA is filed under the name Mytilus galloprovincialis (Mediterranean mussel). Lineage: Eukaryota; Metazoa; Mollusca; Bivalvia; Mytilida; Mytilidae. The record is from RNAcentral.